RNAcentral lists this ribosomal RNA (318 nucleotides) under Triticum aestivum (bread wheat). Its description in RNAcentral is "partial small subunit ribosomal RNA". Lineage: Eukaryota; Viridiplantae; Streptophyta; Magnoliopsida; Poales; Poaceae. The record is from RNAcentral.
AUGCCGCACACGGCUGCCAAUGCCGGACAAACUCGUGCCGCCGAACUGCCAUCGAAGGCUUUCCACAAAUUGAGAUUUGGCCGUAAAAGGAUCGAAUUGUAUCCGAAGAACAGGGGAUACAAAAAAGUAAUAAGAGAAACGCACCGAACCAGAAAAGGAAGCGAGCCAACGUACUCCUAUCCCAUGCAUGCAUGCGUCCACGCGCCGGACAUGUGCCGCAACGUGUCACGCAUGCCGGCGAGAGAGGAUAAACGACGACGGCGAGAUGAGCGGCGGGCGGGAAUGAUAAGAGCGCCGAUGCAGAGAGAGUGCCAGUAG